UGCGUCAGUCUUCAGAUCUUAUCGGGAGUUCAUCACCGAGUCAGUCGUCAAUUGAUUCCAUAAUUGAUGAUCCCAAGGGGGGCCAAACGAGGAAAGCAACAUCCGAGGAAAGAGACGAGCAAAUUAUCACAACAAUGGAUGAUGUGAUGUCACCAUGAAAUAAAACGAAUGCUUUAAUGAAUGGAAACUUUGUCCAGUUGGUGGCGUACGCCUUUGUAUUUGUAUAGGUUGUUCGCUCCCAUUGAAUGUUUCCCCAUGAGAGAGCUGCCUUUUGAGAACCGUCUUUUCUUGUAUAAAGUGGUGCUUGAAAAACUUUAAUAGAAACCUCAAAUAGGCUCGGUGUUAAUGUUGUCAUGGCUUCCCAGGUUGGCAAUGGAUGCUCUCUAGGUUCGGUGUUAAUGUUGUCAUGGCUUCCCAGGUUGGCAAUGGAUUCUCUCUUGUGGCA
This is a long non-coding RNA of Olea europaea var. sylvestris, 445 nucleotides long. RefSeq lists it as uncharacterized. The transcript is spliced from 3 exons. Lineage: Eukaryota; Viridiplantae; Streptophyta; Magnoliopsida; Lamiales; Oleaceae. The record is from RefSeq and is a predicted model, not a curated record.